This 250-nucleotide ribosomal RNA is filed under the name uncultured bacterium. RNAcentral describes it as "partial 16S ribosomal RNA". It matches the Rfam family "Bacterial small subunit ribosomal RNA", at positions 83 to 334 of the family's 1533-position model. The record is from RNAcentral.
UAUGGGCGUCGACCGGCGCACGGGUGAGUAACACGUAUCCAACCUGCCGAUAACUCGGGGAUAGCCUUUCGAAAGAAAGAUUAAUACCCGAUGGUAUAAUCAGACCGCAUGGUUUGAUUAUUAAAGAAUUUCGGUUAUCGAUGGGGAUGCGUUCCAUUAGGCAGUUGGUGAGGUAACGGCCCACCAAGCCUUCGAUGGAUAGGGGUUCUGAGAGGAAGGUCCCCCACAUUGGAACUGAGACACGGUCCAA